CGAACGCUGGCGGCGCGCCUAACACAUGCAAGUCGAACGAGCGAGAGAGAGCUUGCUUUCUUGAGCGAGUGGCGAGCGGGUGAGUAACGCGUGAGGAACCUGCCUCAAAGAGGGGGACAACAGUUGGAAACGACUGCUAAUACCGCAUAAGCCCACGACCCGGCAUCGGGUUGAGGGAAAAGGAGCAAUCCGCUUUGAGAUGGCCUCGCGUCCGAUUAGCUAGUUGGUGAGGUAACGGCCCACCAAGGCGACGAUCGGUAGCCGGACUGAGAGGUUGAACGGCCACAUUGGGACUGAGACACGGCCCAGACUCCUACGGGAGGCAGCAGUGGGGAAUAUUGCACAAUGGGGGAAACCCUGAUGCAGCGACGCCGCGUGGAGGAAGAAGGUCUUCGGAUUGUAAACUCCUGUUGUUGAGGAAGAUAAUGACGGUACUCAACAAGGAAGUGACGGCUAACUACGUG
RNAcentral lists this ribosomal RNA (464 nucleotides) under uncultured bacterium. Its description in RNAcentral is "partial 16S ribosomal RNA". It matches the Rfam family "Bacterial small subunit ribosomal RNA", at positions 30 to 507 of the family's 1533-position model. The record is from RNAcentral.